RNAcentral lists this ribosomal RNA (458 nucleotides) under uncultured bacterium. Its description in RNAcentral is "partial 16S ribosomal RNA". It matches the Rfam family "Bacterial small subunit ribosomal RNA", at positions 28 to 507 of the family's 1533-position model. The record is from RNAcentral.
GACGAACGCUGGCGGCGUGCUUCAUACAUGCAAGUCGAACGAGAAGCUGACUUCGGUCAGUGGAAAGUGGCGGACGGGUGAGUAAUAUGUAGGAAAUCUGCCUUUAGGAGGGGGACAACAGAGGGAAACUUCUGCUAAUACCCCAUAUGAGCGUAGCUGAAAUGCUAUUCUUGAAAACUCCGGUGCCUAAAGAUGAGCCUGCAUCUGAUUAGCUAGUUGGUAGUGUAAUGGACUACCAAGGCGACGAUCAGUAGCUGGUUUGAGAGGAUGAUCAGCCACAAUGGGACUGAGACACGGCCCGGACUCCUACGGGAGGGAGUAGUAGGGAAUUUUGCGCAAUGGGCGAGAGCCUGACGCAGCAACGCCGCGUGAACGAUUAAGCCCUUCGGGGUGUAAAGUUCUGUCAGUGGGGACGAAACUUGACGGUACCCACAGAGGAAGCACCGGCUAACUCCGUG